This 765-nucleotide ribosomal RNA is filed under the name Salmonella enterica subsp. enterica. RNAcentral's name for it is "partial 23S ribosomal RNA". It matches the Rfam family "Bacterial large subunit ribosomal RNA", at positions 11 to 816 of the family's 2925-position model. The record is from RNAcentral. Lineage: Bacteria; Pseudomonadati; Pseudomonadota; Gammaproteobacteria; Enterobacterales; Enterobacteriaceae. RNAcentral also lists the same sequence under 1 other name.
CUAAGCGUACACGGUGGAUGCCCUGGCAGUCAGAGGCGAUGAAGGGCGUGCUAAUCUGCGAUAAGCGCCGGUAAGGUGAUAUGAACCGUUAUAACCGGCGAUACCCGAAUGGGGAAACCCAGUGUGACUCGUCACACUAUCAUUAACUGAAUCCAUAGGUUAAUGAGGCGAACCGGGGGAACUGAAACAUCUAAGUACCCCGAGGAAAAGAAAUCAACCGAGAUUCCCCCAGUAGCGGCGAGCGAACGGGGAGGAGCCCAGAGCCUGAAUCAGCAUGUGUGUUAGUGGAAGCGUCUGGAAAGGCGCGCGAUACAGGGUGACAGCCCCGUACACAAAAGCGCAUGUGCUGUGAGCUCGAUGAGUAGGGCGGGACACGUGGUAUCCUGUCUGAAUAUGGGGGGACCAUCCUCCAAGGCUAAAUACUCCUGACUGACCGAUAGUGAACCAGUACCGUGAGGGAAAGGCGAAAAGAACCCCGGCGAGGGGAGUGAAAAAGAACCUGAAACCGUGUACGUACAAGCAGUGGGAGCACAGGUUUACCUGUGUGACUGCGUACCUUUUGUAUAAUGGGUCAGCGACUUAUAUUCUGUAGCAAGGUUAACCGAAUAGGGGAGCCGGAGGGAAACCGAGUCUUAAUUGGGCGUUAAGUUGCAGGGUAUAGACCCGAAACCCGGUGAUCUAGCCAUGGGCAGGUUGAAGGUUGGGUAACACUAACUGGAGGACCGAACCGACUAAUGUUGAAAAAUUAGCGGAUGACCUGUGGCU